RNAcentral lists this ribosomal RNA (466 nucleotides) under uncultured bacterium. RNAcentral's name for it is "SSU rRNA". It matches the Rfam family "Bacterial small subunit ribosomal RNA", at positions 26 to 518 of the family's 1533-position model. The record is from RNAcentral.
AGAAUCAACGCUGGCGGCGUGCCUAACACAUGCAAGUCGCACGAGAAAGGGACUUCGGUCCUGAGUACAGUGGCGCACGGGUGAGUAACACGUGAAUCAUCUACCUUCGAGUGGGGAAUAACUGAGAGAAAUCUUAGCUAAUACCGCAUAAUACCUACGGGUCAAAGCGGCAAUGCGCUUGAAGAGGAGUUCGCGGCAGAUUAGUUAGUUGGCGGGGUAAUGGCCCACCAAGACGAUGAUCUGUAUCCGGCCUGAGACGGGGCGCGACGGAACGACGACCUGGAAACUGAAACACGGUCCAGACUCCUACGGAGGCAGCAGUGGGGAAUUUUGCGCAAUGGGGGAAACCCUGACGCAGCAACGCCGCGUGGAGGAUGAAAUCCCUUGGGAUGUAAACUCCUUUCGAUCGGGAAGAUAAUGACGGUACCGAGAGAAGAAGCCCGGCUAACUUCGUGCCAGCAGCCGC